RNAcentral lists this ribosomal RNA (840 nucleotides) under uncultured bacterium. RNAcentral's name for it is "bacterial SSU rRNA". It matches the Rfam family "Bacterial small subunit ribosomal RNA", at positions 62 to 933 of the family's 1533-position model. The record is from RNAcentral.
UCGACGAUGAAUCUUCUAGCUUGCUAGAAGUGGAUUAGUGGCGCACGGGUGAGUAAUGCAUAGGCUAUGUGCCCUUUAGUCUGGGAUAGCCACUGGAAACGGUGAUUAAUACUGGAUACUCCCUACGGGGGAAAGUUUUUCGCUAAAGGAUCAGCCUAUGUCCUAUCAGCUUGUUGGUGAGGUAAUGGCUCACCAAGGCUAUGACGGGUAUCCGGCCUGAGAGGGUGAUCGGACACACUGGAACUGAGACACGGUCCAGACUCCUACGGGAGGCAGCAGUAGGGAAUAUUGCUCAAUGGGGGAAACCCUGAAGCAGCAACGCCGCGUGGAGGAUGAAGGUUUUAGGAUUGUAAACUCCUUUUGUUAGAGAAGAUUAUGACGGUAUCUAACGAAUAAGCACCGGCUAACUCCGUGCCAGCAGCCGCGGUAAUACGGAGGGUGCAAGCGUUACUCGGAAUCACUGGGCGUAAAGAGUGCGUAGGCGGGGUAAUAAGUCAGAUGUGAAAUCCUGUAGCUUAACUACAGAACUGCAUUUGAAACUGUUACUCUGGAGUGUGGGAGAGGUAGGUGGAAUUCUUGGUGUAGGGGUAAAAUCCGUAGAGAUCAAGAGGAAUACUCAUUGCGAAGGCGACCUGCUGGAACAUUACUGACGCUGAUGCACGAAAGCGUGGGGAGCAAACAGGAUUAGAUACCCUGGUAGUCCACGCCCUAAACGAUGGUUGCUAGUUGUUGCCUUGCUUGUCAGGGCAGUAAUGCAGCUAACGCAUUAAGCAUCCCGCCUGGGGAGUACGGUCGCAAGAUUAAAACUCAAAGGAAUAGACGGGGACCCGCACAAGCGGU